Molecule: microRNA, 20 nt
Filed under: Salmo salar (Atlantic salmon)
Lineage: Eukaryota; Metazoa; Chordata; Actinopteri; Salmoniformes; Salmonidae
Description: ssa-miR-462a-3p
Gene: ssa-miR-462a-3p
Source: miRBase by way of RNAcentral
CCUGGAUGUGGGUUCCGUCU